Molecule: non-coding RNA, 683 nt
Organism: Oryctolagus cuniculus (rabbit)
Lineage: Eukaryota; Metazoa; Chordata; Mammalia; Lagomorpha; Leporidae
Source: RefSeq, a predicted model, not a curated record
GGGUCUCUUCCCAUGACAUUUUUCUGGUUCAUAUGGGGACUUCUCUGAUCACAGGGAGCCAACCACCACCAUGUGACACAGCCGGCAGCAGAAACCUUUCCAGGUGAACGCACACCCAACAUUGACCUCCUGUUCACGUUUAGCCCUCCUUUGUCUUCUGUCUCUGAUCCUUAGAGAAUCAUUUGCCAGUGCAGGAGCAACCGAAGACUUCUGGCCAGGGCAACUCUCUGGCAGAACUGAAAAGUCCCCAUUCUCAGACACCUCGCACUCACUGCCUUCGGGUGUGAGAAUCCUGCUCUCUGUGUUCUGGUUCCAGUCCUCAGAACCUGCCUUCCUGUGCAGGCACAGCGGCUGAUUCUGGGCCAGGGUGACUCUGGUGGAAUCAGAACAUCUGCACUUGUGCAUGCUUAGGGCUUGCUGCCCUUAGGGGUGAGGACGUGUUCCAUCGCAUCCUAGUGGGCUCCCUUUGUCCUUCACAAAGGUUGAAAGCCUGCUCUUCCUUUUCCCCUGGACCACUCCAUCUGCAACCAGCCUGGACUGAGACACUUGACACUUCCAAGGGUUACAGACUUCUUUCAACCAUAGGCAGUCAUUGAGUUUCCCUCUGCUUCUUCUCACGAAACUGGAACUCGCAGUCCUGAUGAACAUCUACAACUCAAAAAGGCUGACUGAACCAUAUCCUG